GAACGCUGGCGGCGUGCUUAACACAUGCAAGUCGAACGGGAAUUUUUUAGUAAGAGAGCUUGCUCGAUUACAGGGAAUUCCUAGUGGCGGACGGGUGAGUAACGCGUGGGCAACCUGCCCUGUACAGGGGGAUAGCAGUUAGAAAUGACUGAUAAAACCGCAUAAGCGCACGGAAUCGCAUGAUUCAGUGUGAAAAGCUCCGGUGGUACAGGAUGGGCCCGCGUCCGAUUAGCCAGUUGGCGGGGUAACGGCCCACCAAAGCGACGAUCGGUAGCCGGCCUGAGAGGGCGACCGGCCACAUUGGGACUGAGACACGGCCCAAACUCCUACGGGAGGCAGCAGUGGGGAAUAUUGCACAAUGGGGGAAACCCUGAUGCAGCGACGCCGCGUGAAGGAAGAAGUAUUUCGGUAUGUAAACUUCUAUCAGCAGGGAAGAUGAUGACGGUACCUGACUAAGAAGCCCCGGCUAACUACGUGCCAGCCGCCGC
RNAcentral lists this ribosomal RNA (488 nucleotides) under uncultured bacterium. Its description in RNAcentral is "bacterial SSU rRNA". It matches the Rfam family "Bacterial small subunit ribosomal RNA", at positions 31 to 518 of the family's 1533-position model. The record is from RNAcentral.